RNAcentral lists this long non-coding RNA (784 nucleotides) under Helianthus annuus (common sunflower). RNAcentral describes it as "hypothetical non coding rna". Lineage: Eukaryota; Viridiplantae; Streptophyta; Magnoliopsida; Asterales; Asteraceae. The record is from RNAcentral.
UGAAUAUAGAUUCUCUAUUUUAUAGUUGCUGCAACUAAAAGAAAUCCUUCUUUCAGCUUUGCCGCCCAAAAUAAAUGUCGCCAACCUACCAAACCACACGCGUACAGCCUACACCUUCUUUUUUUCAUCCUUCCCGAUUUCUCGGAACUCGACACAACCACAAUAUCACCUCUCGACACCCUCACUUCACCUUUAUGUAACCUGCGACGAGAAAGACGAAACCGGAGCUCUCACCGGAGUUUUUACGUCGGACACUCAAACUCAGUUUCCAUAACUCCCCUCGACACCACCCUCUCACCAUCCCUGUUCCGAUAACAUAUCGCCGGAAACCCAAGCAAUUGUCGGAGCUCCCCCGGAGUCGAAGUGAUCGCCAGAGUAAUCAAAACAUCCGUCGGAGUUCUGCACACUCGCUGGAGAACCCCGACGUGGCCGGAAGUCGAGGACUUCACCAGAGAACCCUGAAGUGACCGGAGACAAUCGGAGCUUACGCCGUAACCACGUCGGAGGUUCACGAUGGAAAACACGUCGUAUGUUCGGAUAAUCGUUUCGUUCGUUCUUUUGGAAUUUUUCUCCAUCUUUACUCGUGCAUUAUUUCAAGAAAUUCUCAUACGCAACCAAUGUGGAUGUUGACGAUGCAUGGAAUCUAGUAGGAUGCUUAGAUACACACUUAGAAAGAAUUGUAUUUGUAUUGUAUCAUUUUAUUAUUCAUGUUGUUGUACUUUGUUUCAAAACAUUGUACUUGAUUCUUUAGAAAUGAAAUGAAACGAUUAUUUAAAUACUUGUC